GACGAACGCUGGCGGCGUGCUUAACACAUGCAAGUCGAACGGAAAGGCCCUGCUUUUGUGGGGUGCUCGAGUGGCGAACGGGUGAGUAACACGUGAGUAACCUGCCCCUGACUUUGGGAUAACUUCAGGAAACUGGGGCUAAUACCGGAUAGGAGCUCCUGCUGCAUGGUGGGGGUUGGAAAGUUUCGGCGGUUGGGGAUGGACUCGCGGCUUAUCAGCUUGUUGGUGGGGUAGUGGCUUACCAAGGCUUUGACGGGUAGCCGGCCUGGAAGGGAGACCGGCCACAUAGGGACUGAGAUACGGGCAAGAGUGCUACGGGAGGCAGCAGUGGGGAACAGUGCACACUGGGCGGAGGGCUGAUGGAGCAACGCCGCGUGCAGGAUGACGGCCUUUGGGUUGUAAACCGCUUUCGCCUGUGACGAAGCGUGAGUGACGGUAAUGGGUAAAGAAGCACCGGCUAACUACGU
RNAcentral lists this ribosomal RNA (467 nucleotides) under uncultured bacterium. RNAcentral describes it as "partial 16S ribosomal RNA". It matches the Rfam family "Bacterial small subunit ribosomal RNA", at positions 28 to 506 of the family's 1533-position model. The record is from RNAcentral.